RNAcentral lists this long non-coding RNA (650 nucleotides) under Coffea arabica (coffee). RNAcentral's name for it is "long non-coding RNA (CARA_LNC002979)". Lineage: Eukaryota; Viridiplantae; Streptophyta; Magnoliopsida; Gentianales; Rubiaceae. The record is from RNAcentral.
AAGUGGUGGAUUGAUUCUGAUGCAGAAGUAGACUCGUGAUCCUUUUUCAUGAGGUUGGUGUUGACUGCUAUAGGGGGUGGUCAUGCUUGUAAGAAGAACAAGGCAUUAGAAUAUAGGGUAAUAAUUGUGUCAUUGUUGGAACGAAAAAGUAAUGACUUUAAAAAGGAAAUAUUUUAUGUCAGCAAAUUGGUGUUGCUUUUGUAUUUUGUGCAAAUUUUUUAAAUCAUGAUUUGUUGCUGCCAUAGGUAUUUGGUUUUCUUGUUUCCCUCAAUUUAGUGGGUCUUCUGACAUGCAUGGAUAUUAAGAAUUCAAAAUGCCUUGUUUUUACUAUUAUACAGAUGUUUGUUCACUUAUUUCUUAUUUCUUGUUAACAAACUACAUCUCAUUGUGGACAUUUAUGAUACGCCUGUAAACCAAACUUUUUAAGAUGGAUGCAUUUUAUCUUUGAAGAACCAACCCUUUCUCAGGUUACAUAAGGUGCUUCCAGUGUUUAUUUUCUUCCUCUGUUUAUUGGCCAAAACAAAAUGAUGUAUUGAUUACUCAAAUACAAUAUUUUUGAAGUUUUGAUCACCUGUCUUCAACUGUAUCUUUCUGUAUUUAUUGCUUGUGAACUUCUACUGAUGUGUAUGUAUUACUACCUUAUUCUUAAU